CGGUAAGGCCCCUUCGGGGGUACACGAGUGGCGAACGGGUGAGUAACACGUGGGUGAUCUGCCCUGCACUCUGGGAUAAGCCUGGGAAACUGGGUCUAAUACCGGAUAUGACCUUGGACUGCAUGGUUCUUGGUGGAAAGGUUUACUGGUGCAGGAUGGGCCCGCGGCCUAUCAGCUUGUUGGUGGGGUAAUGGCCUACCAAGGCGACGACGGGUAGCCGGCCUGAGAGGGCGACCGGCCACACUGGGACUGAGACACGGCCCAGACUCCUACGGGAGGCAGCAGUGGGGAAUAUUGCACAAUGGGCGAAAGCCUGAUGCAGCGACGCCGCGUGAGGGAUGAAGGCCUUCGGGUUGUAAACCUCUUUCAGCAGGGACGAAGCGAGAGUGACGGUACCUGCAGAAGAAGCACCGGCUAACUACGUGCCAGCAGCCGCGGUAAUACGUAGGGUGCGAGCGUUGUCCGGAAUUACUGGGCGUAAAGAGUUCGUAGGCGGUUUGUCACGUCGUUUGUGAAAACUCACAGCUCAACUGUGAGCCUGCAGGCGAUACGGGCAGACUUGAGUACUGCAGGGGAGACUGGAAUUCCUGGUGUAGCGGUGAAAUGCGCAGAUAUCAGGAGGAACACCGGUGGCGAAGGCGGGUCUCUGGGCAGUAACUGACGCUGAGGAACGAAAGCGUGGGUAGCAAACAGGAUUAGAUAC
RNAcentral lists this ribosomal RNA (703 nucleotides) under Rhodococcus sp. 209/s. RNAcentral's name for it is "bacterial SSU rRNA". It matches the Rfam family "Bacterial small subunit ribosomal RNA", at positions 67 to 785 of the family's 1533-position model. The record is from RNAcentral. Lineage: Bacteria; Bacillati; Actinomycetota; Actinomycetes; Mycobacteriales; Nocardiaceae.